Molecule: ribosomal RNA, 139 nt
Filed under: uncultured bacterium
Lineage: Bacteria
Description: partial 16S ribosomal RNA
Rfam family: Bacterial small subunit ribosomal RNA
Source: RNAcentral
UGGGGGAUAUUGCACAAUGGGGGAAACCCUGAUGCAGCGACGCCGCGUGGGUGAAGAAGCGCCUCGGCGCGUAAAGCCCUGUCAGCAGGGAAGAAAAUGACGGUACCUGAACGAAGAAGCCCCGGCUAACUACGUCGCC